This 366-nucleotide long non-coding RNA is filed under the name Mytilus galloprovincialis (Mediterranean mussel). Lineage: Eukaryota; Metazoa; Mollusca; Bivalvia; Mytilida; Mytilidae. The record is from RNAcentral.
GGCCUAUUGAUAAAAAGCAGGAAAAGUUUCUACAAUUUGUUUAUGUUAGUUUGUUUUUUCGUUAUUUUGUUUUUGUUUUUAUUUUUCUGGCUUAUUUUGUUUUGUUCUUCUUAUGUCAGCUUGUUGCUCGUGUGUGUGCAAAAAAUAAUGUGAUUGCAUUUUGUUUUGGAUAUGUCAUAUAAAAUGAAUUUAAAAAAGAGAAAAAAUAUGUACAAUUUACUGUUAAGUGAGAAGUAUUAAGAAUGCUUAAUAGGCGAGUUUAUAGGUAGCUGAUAUUUUAGUAAAAUAGGUUUGUUUUGUUUUAAAUAAAGUCUAUAAAUUGUUUAAAUAUUAAACACUAUUAUGGUCGCCCAAAAUUAAAUAUGU